This 492-nucleotide ribosomal RNA is filed under the name uncultured bacterium. Its description in RNAcentral is "partial 16S ribosomal RNA". It matches the Rfam family "Bacterial small subunit ribosomal RNA", at positions 30 to 507 of the family's 1533-position model. The record is from RNAcentral.
CGAACGCUGGCGGCGUGCUUACCACAUGCAAGUCGAACGGUGAAGCGCCUUCCUUUUUGGUGGGUGUGGAUGAGUGGCGAACGGGUGAGUAACACGUGAGUAACCUGCCCCCUUCUUCUGGAUAACCGCAUGAAAGUGUGGCUAAUACGGGAUAUUCUGGGUCUGUCGCAUGAUGGGUCUGGGAAAGAUAUUGUUUCGGUGGGGGAUGGGCUCGCGGCCUAUCAGCUUGUUGGUGGGGUGAUGGCCUACCAAGGCGGUGACGGGUAGCCGGCCUGAGAGGGUGGACGGUCACACUGGGACUGAGACACGGCCCAGACUCCUACGGGAGGCAGCAGUGGGGAAUAUUGCACAAUGGGCGCAAGCCCGAUGCAGCGACGCCGCGUGAGGGAUGGAGGCCUUCGGGUUGUGAACCUCUUUCGCCAGUGAAGCAGGCCUGCCUCGUUUGUGGGUGGGUUGACGGUAGCUGGAUAAGAAGCGCCGGCUAACUACGUG